This 207-nucleotide ribosomal RNA is filed under the name uncultured bacterium. Its description in RNAcentral is "partial 16S ribosomal RNA". It matches the Rfam family "Bacterial small subunit ribosomal RNA", at positions 568 to 774 of the family's 1533-position model. The record is from RNAcentral.
UGUAUAGGCGGCCACAUUAGUCGUUCGUUAAAUCCGCGGGCUUAACCUGCGGCAUGCGAGCGAAACGGUGUGGCUCGAGGGCGCGAGAGGUGCACGGAACUCAUGGUGGAGGGGUGAAAUCCGUUGAUAUCAUGGGGAACACCAAAGGCGAAGGCAGUGCACUGGUGCGUUCCUGACGCUCAAACACGAAAGCCAGGGGAGCGAACG